GACGAACGCUGGCGGCGUGCUUAACACAUGCAAGUCGAACGGAAAGGCCUCUUUCGGGGGGUACUCGAGUGGCGAACGGGUGAGUAACACGUGAGUAACCUGCCCUUGACUUUGGGAUAACUUCAGGAAACUGGGGCUAAUACCGGAUAGGAGCUCCUGCUGCAUGGUGGGGGUUGGAAAGUUUCGGCGGUUGGGGAUGGACUCGCGGCUUAUCAGCUUGUUGGUGGGGUAGUGGCUUACCAAGGCUUUGACGGGUAGCCGGCCUGAGAGGGUGAACGGCCACAUUGGGACUGAGAUAAGGCCCAGAAUCCUACGGGAGGCAGCAGUGGGGAAUAUUGCACAAUGGGUGGAAGCCUGAUGCAGCAAAGCCGUGGGCGGGAUGACGGCCUUCGGGUUGUAAACCGCUUUCGCUCAUGACGAAGCUUUGUGUGACGGUAGUGGGUAAAGAAGCACCGGCUAACUACGUG
This 467-nucleotide ribosomal RNA is filed under the name uncultured bacterium. Its description in RNAcentral is "partial 16S ribosomal RNA". It matches the Rfam family "Bacterial small subunit ribosomal RNA", at positions 28 to 507 of the family's 1533-position model. The record is from RNAcentral.